GACGAACCGUGCGAACGUUAUUCGGAAUCAUUGGGCUUAAAGCGCGUGUAGGCGGAUGGGAACGUCGGCUUUGAAAGCCCCCGGCUCAACCGGGGAAGGGGCGCCGAUACGACCGUCCUGGAGGGACGUAGGGGGACCUGGAACUUCCGGUGGAGCGGUGAAAUGCGUUGAGAUCGGAAGGAACGCCCGUGGCGAAAGCGAGGUCCUGGACGUUUACUGACGCUGAGACGCGAAAGCCAGGGGAGCGAACGGG
Molecule: ribosomal RNA, 253 nt
Filed under: uncultured bacterium
Lineage: Bacteria
Description: partial 16S ribosomal RNA
Rfam family: Bacterial small subunit ribosomal RNA
Source: RNAcentral